CUUGACAAUGAGGGGUCAGACAUCUCGGCUUUCCUUUUAGAGUGGCUAAUGCCCCGAUGCGGUUGGCAGGAGAUUUCAAAGAGGCCUUUGGCUUCCUUAUUGCACAGCUCGUAUCCAAUAAGUCUUUGUUGAAGUGGGGAUUCGACGGAUGGCUGGAGUACGAAGCAGUAGCUGAUAACCGAUCCCCCAGUCACGAGCUGGAAGGGGAGCUGUUUGAGACUGACAUGGGCAAGGCAGGCCUCCUCAGCAUGAAUGCUGGCGCUCCGCUGAGUCUGAGAGGCUAUUUGACAGGGGGAAAUAAAGGAAAUCACUUCUGAGCUGAGACCAAGCAAGGAAUGUUUCAGCCGUGAAGGAAUUAGUCUGAGAAAGUUCCAAGCAGCUGAAAAAGUGGAAUGGAAGAGAAACGGCAUUUUCAUCCUAGCUAUGUUAUCAGCAGCAUUUGCUCUAAUCGCUGAUAACAACAAGAAUCUCUGUAACCUCCUCCCUGCCUUCUGAUGUCUGGUUUGGUGAUGUGAUCAAAGGCUGGGAAGGAAGCGUGUUUGGUAUGAAAG
Molecule: long non-coding RNA, 551 nt
Organism: Crocodylus porosus (Australian saltwater crocodile)
Lineage: Eukaryota; Metazoa; Chordata; Crocodylia; Crocodylidae
Source: Ensembl